Molecule: ribosomal RNA, 254 nt
Filed under: uncultured bacterium
Lineage: Bacteria
Description: partial 16S ribosomal RNA
Rfam family: Bacterial small subunit ribosomal RNA
Source: RNAcentral
UACGGGGGGAGCAAGCGUUGUUCGGAUUUACUGGGCGUAAAGGGCGCGUAGGCGGCCACCGCAAGUCGACUGUGAAAUCUCCGGGCUUAACCCGGAAAGGUCAACCGAUACUGCGGGGCUAGAGUGCAGAAGGGGCAACUGGAAUUCUCGGUGUAGCGGUGAAAUGCGUAGAUAUCGAGAGGAACACCUGCGGCGAAGGCGGGUUGCUGGGCUGACACUGACGCUGAUGCGCGAAAGCUAGGGGAGCGAACGGG